This is a long non-coding RNA of Papio anubis (olive baboon), 1800 nucleotides long. The record is from Ensembl. Lineage: Eukaryota; Metazoa; Chordata; Mammalia; Primates; Cercopithecidae.
AACCAAGCAUGACUUUUCCACCCAACUACAGGGGACAUUUGGCAGUGUCUGGAGACAUUUUUGGUUGUUACAACUGGAAUUGUGCAUCUGGGGGUUGAGGCCAGGGAUGCUGCUAAACAUUCUGCGAUGCACAGGACACUUCCCUGCAACAAAGAAUUACCCAGCUCAAAAGGUUAUCUGAAGUUGGAGUUCUUCAUGCCCUGUGGAAACUGUAGUAUAUAGAACUCCAGCAUUUUCCUGACAAACAUCAAAGCUACUUUGGAUCCGGGGUUGACUUCACGUCCCUCAAAGAGCAUUUCAAAUGGCAAUCUUCAGACUGCAAAGAAAACUUGGGAUCGUUGCUGUUAGAGGAGCUAGACAUGAAUGUGGACAAAUCAAGAUUCCCUUUCUCCCUCACCAGGCCUUCUAUACAAGUCCUGUGCCUUACUCCAAGAAGUGUUUCUCACCAGCGAUUAAUAGGAUGCAACACACAAAAAGGGCUAGUGAAUCUGUUUGUUACAGUCUACUUACUAAGGCUAUGGCUACAAUACUCCAGUGCUGAAGUCAGUGAAAAGGCAUCAUCCAAACACAAUCCAAGGAAAAUGCAAGCUGAUACAGCACAAAGAUGCUUUGUUUAAGAAUGGCAGAAAUUUCCAGCAACUAUCUGGGAGAAAAAAAAUGCAGGAUGGGAGGGAAUGUAAUCAAAUAACAAAACAAACCCAAACUAAAAGAGAAUCUUUAUAAACCAGCACAAGGACACUUUGUUUUUAAGUGCACACAAUGAAUUUUAAAGAUCUUUGUUCAGAAGGGAAAUAAAGUAUUAUGAAGGACUGACACAUUUGAUGGAUGGAUGGUUUCUGAAAAACCACAUUAUCAAUUACUUUUUCCUUGUUUGGCUCCAGUCCAGUAAUUUUUAUUUGAACAAGCCACAUGCUAGCAUGGUUUUGAUUGCAGGAAGUGACUGGUUGUUGUUAAAGGAUACUAUUUCACUGAUGAGCUUAUCUCUUCCUUCCCCCUCCCCUUUCUGAUGGGACUCCGAUAUGAAAGGCACAGCUUCAGUUGUUAUAAACAGAGUCAGGGAUUGUUUGAUAGACCCACCCGUGUUUUGCUUUCAGCCUUCUGUGGUACAAUCCAGACAAUGUAUUCAGCAGGGCUUCAGAAAAAAACAGUUGAAUUCGGCUUAUUUCUGUUCUCAACUCUGACAUGAAAUUUUGAUAUCUCUGAUGUUUGUCUCUCAUAAAUCUAAGUUUGUUAACAAAAAAAAGUUAUGAAUGUUAUAUUCUUUUUUAUAUUGGACUACUAUCUCAAGCGAGUCCUACUGAGAAAAAACAAUCUUUAUGGAACGGUGAAGCUAAAAUGUAUCACAGAUCUUCUCAAACAAUACAGUGCCUUGUUCUAGCUUUGCUUGUUUGCUAACCUUAUCAAAACAAGUAUAUCAGAGUAUUAUUAGUGUAAAUAUAAGAAACACAGCUAAUUAAGCUAUAUUAUUAAGUGCUCUCAGUUUUCCCUUGCAAUUAAAGAAAGAUUUGGGGGCAGUCAUCAGUGGAUAGGAAAUUAUCUAUGAAAUCAAUUGCUGACACACACAGGACCGUCUGUGUGUGUGUGUGUGUGUGUGUAUGUGUGUGUGUGUGUGUAUGUCUGCUAGUCAAGAUAACUUCCUUUAUGAUUGAAUUUUUUUUUGCGUGUUACCAUGCCUGAAACUUAAACUAUUUCUAAGUUCCCAGGGUAUCAUGGUAACUAUAGGCUUUGGAUAGUUAUUUAAGUAUGUUUCCUAGUUCUAUAUUUUAAACACUGAUUUUAGUGAUUAUUUCUCUGCUGAGA